RNAcentral lists this ribosomal RNA (506 nucleotides) under Escherichia coli. RNAcentral describes it as "partial 23S ribosomal RNA". It matches the Rfam family "Bacterial large subunit ribosomal RNA", at positions 2284 to 2789 of the family's 2925-position model. Lineage: Bacteria; Pseudomonadati; Pseudomonadota; Gammaproteobacteria; Enterobacterales; Enterobacteriaceae. The record is from RNAcentral.
CUCCUCCUAAAGAGUAACGGAGGAGCACGAAGGUUGGCUAAUCCUGGUCGGACAUCAGGAGGUUAGUGCAAUGGCAUAAGCCAGCUUGACUGCGAGCGUGACGGCGCGAGCAGGUGCGAAAGCAGGUCAUAGUGAUCCGGUGGUUCUGAAUGGAAGGGCCAUCGCUCAACGGAUAAAAGGUACUCCGGGGAUAACAGGCUGAUACCGCCCAAGAGUUCAUAUCGACGGCGGUGUUUGGCACCUCGAUGUCGGCUCAUCACAUCCUGGGGCUGAAGUAGGUCCCAAGGGUAUGGCUGUUCGCCAUUUAAAGUGGUACGCGAGCUGGGUUUAGAACGUCGUGAGACAGUUCGGUCCCUAUCUGCCGUGGGCGCUGGAGAACUGAGGGGGGCUGCUCCUAGUACGAGAGGACCGGAGUGGACGCAUCACUGGUGUUCGGGUUGUCAUGCCAAUGGCACUGCCCGGUAGCUAAAUGCGGAAGAGAUAAGUGCUGAAAGCAUCUAAGCACG